AUUGAACGCUGGCGGCAGGCCUAACACAUGCAAGUCGAACGGUAGCACAGAGAGCUUGCUCUCGGGUGACGAGUGGCGGACGGGUGAGUAAUGUCUGGGAAACUGCCCGAUGGAGGGGGAUAACUACUGGAAACGGUAGCUAAUACCGCAUAAUGUCGCAAGACCAAAGAGGGGGACCUUCGGGCCUCUUGCCAUCGGAUGUGCCCAGAUGGGAUUAGCUAGUUGGUGAGGUAAUGGCUCACCAAGGCGACGAUCCCUAGCUGGUCUGAGAGGAUGACCAGCCACACUGGAACUGAGACACGGUCCAGACUCCUACGGGAGGCAGCAGUGGGGAAUAUUGCACAAUGGGCGCAAGCCUGAUGCAGCUAUGCCGCGUGUAUGAAGAAGGCCUUCGGGUUGUAAAGUACUUUCAGCGGGGAGGAAGGCAAUGCGGUUAAUAACCGUGUUGAUUGACGUUACCCGCAGAAGAAGCACCGGCUAACUCCGU
RNAcentral lists this ribosomal RNA (487 nucleotides) under uncultured bacterium. Its description in RNAcentral is "partial 16S ribosomal RNA". It matches the Rfam family "Bacterial small subunit ribosomal RNA", at positions 30 to 506 of the family's 1533-position model. The record is from RNAcentral.